UUUGCAGAAAAAACUUGACUGUUAUGGGACUACGAGUCGUGCACUUGUGCGCAGCUCCUCCAUCCCGGGGUAUUUUCAUCAACAUAUGCAGCAAUGUAUAUGGAAAAUAUACCAUGAGCAUACUGGAUAUGACCCGAAAGAUGGUGAACUAUGCCUGAUCAGGUUGAAGUCAGGGGAAACCCUGAUGGAGGACCGAAGCAAUUCUGACGUGCAAAUCGAUUGUCAGAAUUGGGCAUAGGGGCGAAAGACCAAUCGAACCAUCUAGUAGCUGGUUCCUUCCGAAGUUUCCCUCAGGAUAGCUGGAGCAUAGAAAUAUCUUUUUCUAACUCAUACCUGGUAAAGCGAAUGAUUAGAGGCCUUAGGAACGAAAUGUUCUUAACCUAUUCUCAAACUUUAAAUGGGUAUGUAAGCUAACAUACUUGAUUGAUGUUGGCCUGGUGAUAAUGAAAGUUAUCUGUAAGAUUGUAUGCGCCCAGUGGGCCAAGUUUUGGUAAGCAGAACUGGUGCUGCGGGAUGAACCGAACGCAUUGUUAAGGCGCCCAAAUAAACGACGCAUCAUCGAU
Molecule: ribosomal RNA, 563 nt
Filed under: Eretmoptera murphyi
Lineage: Eukaryota; Metazoa; Arthropoda; Insecta; Diptera; Chironomidae
Description: eukaryotic LSU rRNA
Rfam family: Eukaryotic large subunit ribosomal RNA
Source: RNAcentral